This 399-nucleotide unclassified non-coding RNA is filed under the name soil metagenome. Its description in RNAcentral is "partial contains 5.8S ribosomal RNA, internal transcribed spacer 2, and large subunit ribosomal RNA". The stretch from base 1 to 120 matches the Rfam family "5.8S ribosomal RNA", at positions 35 to 154 of the family's 154-position model. The record is from RNAcentral.
GAUGAAGAACGUAGCGAAAUGGGAUACUUGGUGUGAAUUGCAGAAUCCCGUGAACCAUCGAGUCUUUGAACGCAAGUUGCGCCCGAAGCCUCGGCUAAGGGCACGUCUGCCUGGGCGUCACGCAUCGCGUCUCCCCCAAACCGCCAAGGCGGAGGGGAAGGAAGAUGGCUUCCCGUGCCUCACCCGGCGCGGUUGGCCUAAAUUUGGAGCCCGCGGCACUUAGCUCUCGCGGCGAUAGGUGGUGAACAAGGCCUUGGCCGUGCAAACAACCCGCUGCGAAGCUCUAUGUCACGUGCGCUCGUCGGACCCUUUGAAGUUGCCUUCGGUGACUUAAAACCUUUGCGACCCCAGGUCAGGAGGGGCUACCCGCUGAAUUUAAGCAUAUCAAUAAGCGGAGGA